CCUACGGGUGGCAGCAGUCGAGAAUCAUUCGCAAUGGGGGAAACCCUGAUGGUGCGACGCCGCGUGGGGGAAUGAAGGUCUUCGGAUUGUAAACCCCUGUCAUGUGGGAGCAAAUUAAAAAGAUAGUACCACAAGAGGAAGAGGCGGCUAACUCUGUGCCAGCCGCCGCGGUACUACAGAGGUGUCAAGCGUUGUUCGGAAUCACUGGGCGUAAAGCGUGCGUCGGCUGUUUCGUAAGUCGUGUGUGAAAGGCGCGGGCUCAACCCGCGGACGGCACAUGAUACUGCGAGACUAGAGUAAUGGAGGGGGAACCGGAAUUCUCGGGGUAGCAGUGAAAUGCGUAGAUAUCGAGAGGAACACUCGUGGCGAAGGCGGGUUCCUGGACAUUAACUGACGCUGAGGCACGAAGGCCAGGGGAGCGAAAGGGAUUAGAUACCCGAGUAGUC
RNAcentral lists this ribosomal RNA (446 nucleotides) under uncultured bacterium. RNAcentral's name for it is "partial 16S ribosomal RNA". It matches the Rfam family "Bacterial small subunit ribosomal RNA", at positions 338 to 795 of the family's 1533-position model. The record is from RNAcentral.